AGAACGAACGCUGGCGGCAUGCCUAACACAUGCAAGUCGAACGAGACCUUCGGGUCUAGUGGCGCACGGGUGCGUAACGCGUGGGAAUCUGCCCUUAGGUACGGAAUAACAGUGAGAAAUUACUGCUAAUACCGUAUGAUGUCUUCGGACCAAAGAUUUAUCGCCUAGGGAUGAGCCCGCGUUGGAUUAGCUAGUUGGUGGGGUAAAGGCCUACCAAGGCGACGAUCCAUAGCUGGUCUGAGAGGAUGAUCAGCCACGCUGGGACUGAGACACGGCCCAGACUCCUACGGGAGGCAGCAGUGGGGAAUAUUGGACAAUGGGCGAAAGCCUGAUCCAGCAAUGCCGCGUGAGUGAAGAAGGCCUUAGGGUUGUAAAGCUCUUUUACCCGGGAAGAUAAUGACUGUACCGGGAGAAUAAGCCCGGCUAACUCCGCGCCAGCAGCCGC
Molecule: ribosomal RNA, 445 nt
Filed under: uncultured bacterium
Lineage: Bacteria
Description: SSU rRNA
Rfam family: Bacterial small subunit ribosomal RNA
Source: RNAcentral